This is an RNA transcript of Branchiostoma belcheri (Belcher's lancelet), 1521 nucleotides long. It is a transcript of the gene named ubiquinol-cytochrome-c reductase complex assembly factor 3-like, with no coding region annotated. NCBI's taxonomy places the organism in Eukaryota, Metazoa, Chordata, Leptocardii, Amphioxiformes, Branchiostomatidae. The record is from RefSeq and is a predicted model, not a curated record. The transcript is spliced from 2 exons.
CGAGUGAUCCUGAGGUCACCCAGCAAGCUUGCUUGUGUGGUCUUUCUUCAUUCCUGUGAUCAUCCUCAGCGGUAACAGACAGUACAAGAAGACAGUUAUGUCUAUGGGCAGGGGAAUAAUGGCUAUAGCAGUGGUGGGAGGCACCUGCAUUGCUGGAUAUAGCAUAAUGGCAGUUAUAAGUCCUAGCAGAGAAACCAUGCUGCAGAAAUGUCCAGAGAAACACCCUGUGGCCAUGUUGGAGAGUCAGCAGAGAUCCGCCUCUGUCAUGUCAGUUCUUAAGUACGCUGCAGAGACUGACCAAGCGGCCUGGAAUGACAAAUUCUGGUUUGACCAGAAGAAACACCAGAAACAAGACUGAACAUUUAGAGAAACUCGUGGAAAGAGAGGACACUGUUUGCGCUAGCCUAGCCUCUUGUGCAGACUUCUAGCAGGGCAGCAUUUUAGUGGAAUUUUCUAUUUGACCUUGUUUGGGGAAAGCUACAUGUAUAUCCAUGGAGAAAGCUGUAUCACCUGCACUAGUUGUAUCCCUGGCACCUGAAGUUGUUGAAGAGGCAUAUCUGUUCAUGGCAUACUAGUAACUCCUUCUGCUGCAUUUAUAGAGAACCUUUGCCCAUGUAAAAAAAUAUGGUGUAUCAGGACCCCCCCCCCCCAAAAAAAAAUGCUGCUGCUCCAAGAAGGCUGCAAAAGAGGCUACGUAACUUGGGCCAGUCUUGAGACUCCCUCUAAUGGUAUAUAUUAUGCUGAAACGCACAAUUUUUGUAUCUUCGUAAUGUCUUAACUUCAGUGCGAAGUAAGUAGUCUGUUGGUUGUGCUCUCCCACUAGAAACUACCAGAGGGUGACCCUGCAAAGAUGGCCGAGAGCAGAGCCAGAUCAGCGCUCAUGAUGGCCAAACUGAAGGAGGUCGCCGAGUCAGACAAGCCGUUUUGGAUGGAGGAGGACAGGGAUGGCAGGAAACGAUAGCAGCACUUCCAGAACAAGAAUGUACUAAAUGGAAUGACUUUUUUGCAAGGACUGUCUGUAAUAAAUUAGGAUCAGCGUUGUAUGUGCAUCCCUAAGAGAGUAGAUUGAUUUGCUGUGACUGUGAUACGAGUUACUGUUUGGAAAUUAUGUUGUAUAUAGAAAUUGAUGAACAAAAUGAUGAAUUGACAUUGAAUAUGAUCAAGGACAUUAUCUCAAUAUUAUGUAGGGUCCUUGUUAUUAUAAACAUGUAACACGUUAUAUGCCAGAAGUGGACCCAGAGAAAAGAACUCUGAAAGAGACCUAAGUCAGCUUACAGAUGUGCCCUAUGUGGCAGAGAUUGUUAUUCUCAUAUAGGACUGUUCAGGAGACAAUUGAAGGGUGUGGUAAAGACCUUUUUUUAAGCAUAUUGAUGAUUAUACAAUUGACUUAGGUUAUGCAGUGAUACACUCUUAUCUAGUUGUCUUUGUUGCUGUACAUCUAAAUAUUAAAUAAAUUACAUCUAACUGCAUUUUACUCACCAUAUCGAGUCUACUGGAUCUACCAGUUACAAGUUAUAGCUA